CUUGAUGGCGCGUCUAAUACAUGCAAGUCGAGCGGACAGAAGGGAGCUUGCUCCCGGAUGUUAGCGGCGGACGGGUGAGUAACACGUGGGUAACCUGCCUGUAAGACUGGGAUAACUCCGGGAAACCGGAGCUAAUACCGGAUAGUUCCUUGAACCGCAUGGUUCAAGGAUGAAAGACGGUUUCGGCUGUCACUUACAGAUGGACCCGCGGCGCAUUAGCUAGUUGGUGAGGUAACGGCUCACCAAGGCGACGAUGCGUAGCCGACCUGAGAGGGUGAUCGGCCACACUGGGACUGAGACACGGCCCAGACUCCUACGGGAGGCAGCAGUAGGGAAUCUUCCGCAAUGGACGAAAGUCUGACGGAGCAACGCCGCGUGAGUGAUGAAGGUUUUCGGAUCGUAAAGCUCUGUUGUUAGGGAAGAACAAGUGCAAGAGUAACUGCUUGCACCUUGACGGUACCUAACCAGAAAGCCACGGCUAACUACGUGCCAGCAGCCGCGGUAAUACGUAGGUGGCAAGCGUUGUCCGGAAUUAUUGGGCGUAAAGGGCUCGCAGGCGGUUUCUUAAGUCUGAUGUGAAAGCCCCCGGCUCAACCGGGGAGGGUCAUUGGAAACUGGGAAACUUGAGUGCAGAAGAGGAGAGUGGAAUUCCACGUGUAGCGGUGAAAUGCGUAGAGAUGUGGAGGAACACCAGUGGCGAAGGCGACUCUCUGGUCUGUAACUGACGCUGAGGAGCGAAAGCGUGGGGAGCGAACAGGAUUAGAUACCCUGGUAGUCCACGCCGUAAACGAUGAGUGCUAAGUGUUAGGGGGUUUCCGCCCCUUAGUGCUGCAGCUAACGCAUUAAGCACUCCGCCUGGGGAGUACGGUCGCAAGACUGAAACUCAAAGGAAUUGACGGGGGCCCGCACAAGCGGUGGAGC
Molecule: ribosomal RNA, 921 nt
Filed under: Bacillus altitudinis
Lineage: Bacteria; Bacillati; Bacillota; Bacilli; Caryophanales; Bacillaceae
Description: bacterial SSU rRNA
Rfam family: Bacterial small subunit ribosomal RNA
Source: RNAcentral